Molecule: long non-coding RNA, 1364 nt
Filed under: Pan troglodytes (chimpanzee)
Lineage: Eukaryota; Metazoa; Chordata; Mammalia; Primates; Hominidae
Description: long non-coding RNA NONPTRT000177
Source: RNAcentral
GCAGACCAUGAUCAGUGAGCCCUCCCCACUCUCCCUUUCUCUCUCUCCCCAUCUCCCUAGCUGCAGAGCAUAUUCAGACAGCUCUCCAAUAAGUUCAUCAGUAAUAAAGGUGUGCUAGGGAAUAAAUGAAAUGCCUGGGACAUCAUCGUUAAGUGGCAUCUGAUGCAUAAGCAGUGCCCUAGGAACGGGGUUGCCUGCCUUGGUCUCUAAAGGAUGGGUUCAAAAGGCAAGAGCAGCACACAAGAAGAUAGCUUCAAGCAGGAGAAAAAGCUUGGCCCAGGGCCCAAAGGGGAUACGACCCUUCAGGUUGGCCCUGACCUCUGGGUUGGAUUACCAGUGACACAAUGAACAUUUCAUUAUGAGGCCAUCCCUUGAGCAAACUGACAUGCUGAAAGCUGCCCUAUGGAGAGGCUCAUGUGGCAAGGAACAUGGGGGUGGCUUCUGGCCAACACCCAGUGAGGAACUCAGGCCCUCAGUCAAACAGCCUGCAAGGAACUGAACCCUGCCAAUAACCCCAGGAGCCAUCCCAUGAGGCCGUUACUGCAAACAAGCUGAAAAUCCUGCUUUGUUUCUUUUGGACACAACAUGCUUUCCUUCAGCUUCAGUAGACGAUGAGGCCAGCACCACAUGGGCUAGAUGUACAUGAGAUGUGAGCAACCACACUUCCCCUCUGACGGGGACAGACAGCAUCACAGGACAUGAAGUUCUAAGAGUUUCAGUGACUUGUCUAAGAUUAAACAGCUAUGAAUGGAGAACUGGAGGAAAAUGAGGAUUCCCCAUUAAUGCCAUGAGUUCACUGCAGAGGUCAACACUGGGCAUACACUUCAAUCAUCCAUAAAGGAAAAUGGAGGCCUCAUCAUCUCUCACCUGGGCAACUGCAACAAUGAGCAGCUUGUGUCUGUGCCUGCAUCCAUCCUUCCAUCCUGUUCUCCAGCAGCAGCCAGGGUGGUCUUUCAAAAAUGCAAAGCUGAUAAUGUUACUCCCCUGCUGUAAACCUUCCAGCGGUUUCCUAUUGCCUUCAGAAUAAAAUACGAAUCGUCCGGCCUCCAUCUAUCUCUCCAGGCUCAUCCUCUCUCAAUUUUCCAUAUCCUUCAGGCUGAGCUCUGAAACUUCUCCUGGCAGUUCAAGAGAGCGAUGGAGGGAAUGCUGGGGCACAUCUAAAUAAAGCCCCCAAGUGGGAGUUCCUGCUCAGCUAUGCAUGAGCUCUUUGUGACUUCAUCUCCCAGCCUACAACUUGUGAAAUAAGCACGACUUCACUCAGAGCACAGCCAGAAACAUACAAACUUUCCAAAAAUAUUUGAAUGUUGACAGCAGACUGUCUUGCAUUCCAGUGAAUAAUUGGUUUGUAUGAGUGUGUGUGUGAC